Long non-coding RNA from Alligator mississippiensis (American alligator), 4754 nucleotides. RefSeq lists it as uncharacterized. The record is from RefSeq and is a predicted model, not a curated record. The transcript has 2 exons. NCBI's taxonomy places the organism in Eukaryota, Metazoa, Chordata, Crocodylia, Alligatoridae.
GGGCGGGGGCGGGCCGGCCGCGGGGGUCAUCGCGUCUGGUCCUUAGAGCUGGGGCGGCAGUGCCGGGGGAGGGCCCCGCCUCCGCCGGAAACGGGGCCGACCAGCUGCUGGGCAGCCCGGAGUUGCUGCCGCGGAGGCGCGCAGCUGCCCCGGGGUUGCCGGGCCGCGUCUGAGGCUGAGAUGCAGCUAGCGGCGGGGGCCGUUAGUUACAGCGGUGCUUCUCGCCCUUUGAGCAGCGCUAGGAAAUGCGGGCCCGGAGCUGCUUCUGCUCCUGUUUUGACUACAGAAAAAUAACAGCGCCGCUUUCCUGUUGCCCGAAACCUAGAUCAAACAGGUGAAAUCUCGCUUUAUCUUGUGUUCCUGCUUGCGCGCCUAGCAGCGGGGCCCCGCAGCGCUCUUGGAAGAUCUCGAGACACCCCACGGAGUGCGAGGAACGGCUGCACUAAAGGCUCAGCUUGAAAGUGAAAAGAAAGGCGAAUAUCUGGCGUCUUUAUUUUUUUCACUCAAAAAUGGCAAAAAGGGAGUAUGACUUGCCAACUGGAACCUAUAUUAAAACCAUUUCAUGUUCUGGACAAUUGUAUCUUAUUAACGUUUUUCCCUGUGAGGGUCAUACUUUUCUGUGCCCUUGUAGCUCUCAGAGGUACAGUCUGUAUUUGUAAGUAUGUGUGUUUCCAUGAUACAUGUCUAGAAUACCAUUUUAAAUGCAUGGUAUUUUAUUUCCUUUUUCUACAGAAGAACUUUGAAGUGGCAGCAUAAUUUUCAUACUCCAGUCUGAACUUUAAUUUGACAACACAAUGUCACCUGAUGGGGGAACAGUGUUAUCAACCACUUCUUUUGGGAGACUUGAUAAAUCUAGUCAUAAAGAGACCUUUGAAUUAGCACUAGCUGCGUCUUCAGAAGGGACACCUGAAGAAAAAGGAUAGUCCAAGCUCAAUCAGUCAGAAGCAAGGAGACAAGAACUGCCAUUCUGGAUGAGACUAAAGGAGAUAUGGAUCCUGUCAACAUGAGAAUAGUUGAAGUUCACUAUUGUAUAGCCUGCUUUUGGCUUUUUAAAAUUUAAUUUGCAUUUUCCUUUCUCUAUUUUGAUGAGGUGAUUGACAUUCUCCUCAGCAGACCCUGUUUCCCAGGUUCCCACCCUCAAUUUCUUCAGCUCCUGCCCCCAAUAGCCUCAUGAGUCACCAGCAUGUAAGUCCACUUUGCAAUGUUCUCACCCCCUUAGGUGGUGUUAGGGUAGCUUGUUAUGUUUAAUGCUUUGAAGUUGCACUUGCUUAUAGUAUUGUUUAAAUUUAGCCUUAUUUAAUAACUGCUUAAGUUUUGUCCUUAUUAAUUUUUUUUUUUUUAUUAUUAGCUGGCUUUGAGUUGUUUUGGUAGAGCUCAUAGGUGCUCAUUAUAUCUUUUCUUUUUUAUCAUGGUGAGUUUUGUUAACAUAAGGCAAUGGCCUUGUUACCAGCUCCAAUUAAUUGAACUUGGCACUAACCAGUUGAUUCAGAGGGAUGAAAGCAUUGGAUAUAUUAAUGAAAGGUGAUAAGGGAGACCAAUGGACAAUGCCCAAAGUAACACACCAGAAAAAGGCCAAAUUAAGAGGCAUGCUUGCGAUGGGUCUGUUCAUAGAUUCAUAGAUGUUAGGGUCGGAAGGGACCUCAAUAGAUCAUCAAGUCCGACCCCCUGCAUAGGCAGGGAAAAGUGCUGGGUCUAGAUGACCCCAGCUACAUGGUUAUCUAACCUCCUCUUGAAGACCCCCAGGGUAGGGGAGAGCACCACCUCCCUUGGGAGCCCGUUCCAGACCUUGGCCACUCGAACUGUGAAGAAGUUCUUCCUAAUGUCCAAUCUAAAUCUGCUCUCUGCUAGCUUGUGGCCAUUAUUUCUUGUAACCCCCGGGGGCGCCUUGGUGAAUAAAUACUCACCAAUUCCCUUCUGUGUCCCCGUGAUGAACUUAUAGGCAGCCACAAGGUCGCCUCUCAACCUUCUCUUGCGGAGGCUGAAGAGGUCCAGGUGCCACAGUCUCUCCUCAUAGGGCUUGGACUGCAGGCCCUUAACCAUACGAGUGGCCCUUCUCUGGACCCUCUCCAGGUUAUCCUCAUCCCUCUUGAAGUGUGGUGCCCAGAAUUGCACGCAGUACUCCAACGGUGGUCUGACCAGCGCCCAAUAGAGGGGAAGUAUCACCUCCUUGGACCUAUUCGUCAUGCAUCUGCUGAUGCACAAUAAAGUGCCAUUGGCUUUUCUGAUGGCUUCGUCACACUGCCGACUCAUGUUCAUCUUAGAGUCCGCUAGGACUCCAAGAUCCCUUUCCACUUCCGUGCCACUCAGCAGGUCAUUCCCUAGGCUGUAGGUGUGCUGGACAUUUUUCCUCCCUAGGUGCAGCACUUUGCAUUUCUCCUUGUUGAACUGCAUUCUGUUGUUUUCUGCCCACUUGUCUAACCUGUCCAGGUCUGCUUGCAGCUGUUCCCUGCCCUCCGGCAUGUCCACUUCUCCCCAUAGCUUUGUGUCAUCUGCAAACUUGGACAGAGUACAUUUCACUCCCUCGUCCAAGUCACUGAUGAAGACAUUAAAGAGUAUCGGUCCAAGGACCAAGCCCUGUGGGACCCCACUGCCCACACCCUUCCAGGUCGAAGCCGACCCAUCCACCACGACUCUCUGGGUGCGACCCUCCAGCCAAUUCGCCACCCACCGGACUGUGUAGUCAUCCACGUCACAGCCUCUUAACUUGUUCACCAGUAUGGGGUGGGAUACCGUAUUGAAGGCGUUCCUGAAGUUUAAGUAUACGACAUCCACCCCUACUCCUGCGUCCAGGUGUUUCAUAACCUGGUCAUAAAAAGAGACUAGAUUGGUCAGGCACGAUCUGCCUGCCACGAACCUGUGCUUGUUUCCCCUCAGCAUAAUUUUUCCUGCCGGGCUCUCACAAAUGUGAGCCUUGAUCAUUUUUUCAAAGACUUUGCCAAGGAUGGAGGUGAGACUGACUGGCCUAUAGUUGCCCGGGUCCUCCUUCCUCCCCUUCUUGAAAAUGGGGACCACAUUGGCCCUUUUCCAGUCCUCCGGGACUUGGCCCGUGCGCCACGAGCGUUCAAAUAUUCCCGCCAGUGGCUCUGCAAUGAUGUCGGCCAGUGCCUUCAGCACCCUCGGAUGGAGCUCAUCCGGGCCUGCCGACUUAAAGGCAUCCAGUUCUUCCAAGUGACUCUGCACCAUCUCAGGGUCUACGCAUGGUAGUCUGGCGCCUUGCUGCUGCCUCUCUACAACCCCAGUGAGAGACUUGUCGUGCCCCUCACUUAGGAACACUGAGGCAAAGAACUCGUUGAGGAGUUCAGCCUUGUCCCCCCUGUCCGUCACCAAUUGUUUCUGCCCAUUUAAUAGGGGUCCUAUUCCUCCCUGGGCCUUCCUUUUACUCCCUAUAUAUCUAAAAAACAAUUUCUUGUUGUCCUUUACUUGGGAUGCCAUCCUCAGCUCCAUGGUAGCUUUGGCCCGUCUAACUGCCUCCCUACAAGCACGAGCAGAGGAGGUAUAUUCGUCUUUGGUGAUCUCUCCCUGUUUCCACUUUUUAUGUGCUCCCCUUUUGGCCCUUAGGCUGCCCUGGAUUUCUGUGGUCAGCCAGGGAAGCCUCCUGGCCCCUUUCUCUCUUUUACCCCGCAUGGGGAUCGUCUCGCUUUGUGCCCGAAGGAUCAUUUCCUUAAGGCACAGCCACCCUUCUUGGACUCCCAUCAUUUCAAAACUCCUACGUUGCAGUGCGUCCUUGACUAAUCGCCCGAGUUCAUUUAAAUCAGCUUUCCUAAAGUCUAGCACUUUCACCCUACUAGUUACCUUACCCACUCGCUGUCUUAUGGUGAAUUCUAUUAUUAGGUGAUCACUGUCCCUCAGGUGACCACCGAUCUGUAGGUCCCCUACCAUGUCAUCCCCCGUUGCCAAUACCAGAUCCAGUAUGGCAUUCCCCCUAGUGGGACCAUGUACCUCCUGUGUCAGGUGGAGGUCCUGUACACAGGUUAGAAACCUGCGUGAGCGGUGGGACUUUGCCGUCUGUCUCCCAGCAGCUGUCCGGGUAGUUUAGGUCCCCCAUGACUACCGCCUCUUUAGCUUUUAUGGUCUCCGUGAGCUGCCUCAGGAGCCCCGCAUCUAUUUCUUCCCCUUGGUGUGGGGCUCUGUAGCAGACCCCUACCACCAAAUCCCUUUCUCCUUGCCCCCCAUGUAGCCUAACCCACAAUUCUUCUACUUCCUCAUCCUUGGAUUCCGUCUUGAUGAGGGUUGACGUAUAUUGCUCAUUGACAUAGAGCGCAACCCCUCCCCCUUUUUUCCCCACCCUGUCCUUUCUGUACAAUCUAUAACCCUCAAUAUGUACCGCCCAGUCGUGGGAUGAAUCCCACCAGGUUUCUGUUAGCCCUACUGUUAGACAAAGGAAUAUGCGGGCGAGAUAAAAGAUGGACAAUAUGUUGGCUGCAGAGAGACCAAUCCAAAAGCAAAGAGUCAAAGGAGUGAAGUUGAAGAAAAGCAUAAAAGUGGGGAGCAAGAAAGUUUGUCAUCAUUGUUAUCAUAAAUCCAGCCUUUAACACCUGUCUGGACUGUCCGACCGUACGACGUACCCUUUGCUUCCAGGAACUGAGUGGCUGUCUUUUUUGUUGAGCAAAGUAACAUCUGGGAUUGGGUGAGAUUAUUGUACUGAAUAUUUUUCUCUUUCUGAAUACAGAAACUGCUAAGAUAAUACUUGUUGUACUAAUAAAGUUAAACUUUGAUUUUUGGACACCAAGUUGUCCAAGACUUUGAUUUUAGGA